Molecule: ribosomal RNA, 1346 nt
Filed under: uncultured bacterium
Lineage: Bacteria
Description: bacterial SSU rRNA
Rfam family: Bacterial small subunit ribosomal RNA
Source: RNAcentral
GACGAACGCUGGCGGCGUGCUUAACACAUGCAAGUCGAACGGAAAGGCCCUGCUUUUGUGGGGUGCUCGAGUGGCGAACGGGUGAGUAACACGUGAGUAACCUGCCCUUGACUUUGGGAUAACUUCAGGAAACUGGGGCUAAUACCGGAUAGGAGCUCCUGCUGCAUGGUGGGGGUUGGAAAGUUUCGGCGGUUGGGGAUGGACUCGCGGCUUAUCAGCUUGUUGGUGGUGUAGUGGCUUACCAAGGCUUUGACGGGUAGCCGGCCUGAGAGGGUGACCGGCCACAUUGGGACUGAGAUACGGCCCAGACUCCUACGGGAGGCAGCAGUGGGGAAUAUUGCACAAUGGGCGGAAGCCUGAUGCAGCAACGCCGCGUGCGGGAUGACGGCCUUCGGGUUGUAAACCGCUUUCGCCUGUGACGAAGCGUGAGUGACGGUAAUGGGUAAAGAAGCACCGGCUAACUACGUGCCAGCAGCCGCGGUGAUACGUAGGGUGCGAGCGUUGUCCGGAUUUAUUGGGCGUAAAGGGCUCGUAGGUGGUUGAUCGCGUCGGAAGUGUAAUCUUGGGGCUUAACCCUGAGCGUGCUUUCGAUACGGGUUGACUUGAGGAAGGUAGGGGAGAAUGGAAUUCCUGGUGGAGCGGUGGAAUGCGCAGAUAUCAGGAGGAACACCAGUGGCGAAGGCGGUUCUCUGGGCCUUUCCUGACGCUGAGGAGCGAAAGCGUGGGGAGCGAACAGGCUUAGAUACCCUGGUAGUCCACGCUGUAAACGGUGGGUACUAGGUGUGGGGUCCAUUCCACGGGUUCCGUGCCGUAGCUAACGCUUUAAGUACCCCGCCUGGGGAGUACGGCCGCAAGGCUAAAACUCAAAGGAAUUGACGGGGCCCCGCACAAGCGGCGGAGCAUGCGGAUUAAUUCGAUGCAACGCGUAGAACCUUACCUGGGUUUGACAUGGAUCGGGAGCGCUCAGAGAUGGGUGUGCCUCUUUUGGGGUCGGUUCACAGGUGGUGCAUGGCUGUCGUCAGCUCGUGUCGUGAGAUGUUGGGUUAAGUCCCGCAACGAGCGCAACCCUUGUUCACUGUUGCCAGCACGUUAUGGUGGGGACUCAGUGGAGACCGCCGGGGUCAACUCGGAGGAAGGUGGGGAUGACGUCAAGUCAUCAUGCCCCUUAUGUCCAGGGCUUCACGCAUGCUACAAUGGCUGGUACAGAGAGUGGCGAGCCUGUGAGGGUGAGCGAAUCUCGGAAAGCCGGUCUCAGUUCGGAUUGGGGUCUGCAACUCGACCUCAUGAAGUCGGAGUCGCUAGUAAUCGCAGAUCAGCAACGCUGCGGUGAAUACGUUCCCGGGGCU